RNAcentral lists this long non-coding RNA (727 nucleotides) under Brachypodium distachyon (stiff brome). RNAcentral's name for it is "long non-coding RNA (BDIS_LNC004194)". The record is from RNAcentral. Lineage: Eukaryota; Viridiplantae; Streptophyta; Magnoliopsida; Poales; Poaceae.
UAUAUCUUUUUUAAUGAACAAGUGUUGUACAUUUCAAGGAACAAAAAUAAAAAAUCCUUGAGGUGUGGUUUCGAUUAUUAUUCUAGGUCCAUUUUUCGUGAACUUCUCGUAUAACUUAAAUUUUGGGAGCUCUAUGUAAUGAUUAUAAAAGCUUGAAUAAUCCAUAAUCUACAUCAUAACAACCAGAUCUACUAAAAUUUGUAAGGUUAUGUCAAGACUUUAAAAGUUUGAAUAUUUGUGAGGAAAGGCAUCAAAUUCUGGCAUCAAAAACUUCUUAUGUGAUUUCUAAAAUUUUGAUAUGAUUUGAAAGCGUCUAGUCUUUUUUAUUGAAAGUGAUAUUCCCCACCCGUUUAAUUCCCUGAAAACCACUCUCCCAAAAAGGGAAAAGAUGAAAAAAAAAAAGAAGCCCAACAGCAACAUUUUUCUGUUGUACAAAAAAAGCCAAAAUAGGAAAAGAGAAGAAGACUGAAGCGGGCUUGUAGUCAUUUGGCCUAGCACGAGUCCCAGGAUGCUGACAAACUCAGGCGUGAGCACGGGACCAGGCGGAGCGUAAACUAUAAAAGGAAGCGAGGAAGCGGGACUGCGACGCGGCCGAGCGCGCGGGAGUCUGGUCGGAAUCGUCCGCCAGAUCGUGUACUGGCGGAGCUCCGCGGAUUAGCAUCCCCUCUAUAAUUGUCUUUACUUUCGGUUAUAGUUGCUGAUGUCUGUUUUAUAUAUAGAAAGGACC